GGGGAAUUUCCCUGCACAAGCUCUCUUCUCUUGUCUGCCACCAUGUGAAACGUACCUUCCACCUUCUGCCAUGAUUGCGAGGCCUCCCCAGCCACGUGGAACUGUAAGUGCAGUAAACCUAUUUCUUUUGUAAAUUGCCCAGUCUCUGAUAUGUCUUUAUCAGUGCCAUGAACGUGGGCUAAUACACCAUACAAAUGUUAACCUUUACCUCUCUUGCUUGCUUUAUAAUUCUCACUCUUCCUCCCUUCUUCUCCCUCUCCUCUUUUCCUCCCUAUUUCUCUCUUCCAACCCUGGCCUUUCCAUAGGUAUGAUUACAAAUGUAGAUAUAAGUAUAGAUGCAAAUAUAACUGUAGUUAUAUAUUUUUUUCCUGAAACACUUGAGAGUAAGUUACAAACAUGAUACUCUUUACAUCUAAAUACAUUAGUGUACAGUUUAUGUCACUUAGCCACAUUACAAUAAACAAAAUCAAGAAACUAACAUUAAUAACAUUACAGUCUAACUUAGAAGCCAUAUUCCAAUUCAGCCAUUUAUACCACUAAUAUUCUAAACCAAUCCAGGAUCCCAUGUUGCCUGUAGUUCUCAUAUCUUUUUAUUUUCCUUUACUCUAGAACAGUCAGUUUUUCUUUGCCAUUCAUGACAGUUACUUUUUUUUUAAAGAAUACAGACCAGUUAUUUUGAACAAUGUUCCUCAGUUUGGGUCUGUCUGAUGUUUCCUUAUUAGAUUUAAGCCAUGUAUUUUUGGCAGGAGUACAACAGGAGUGAUGUGUUUUUCUCAGUGCAGCAUGUUGUCUUUAGUGAAACAGUAAUUUAACUGUCCAUUUGGUAAAGGUGGUGUCAGCCAAUUUUCUUUAAUGUAAAGUUACCAUUUUUGUCUUUGUAAUGAAUAACUAUCUUGUUGUGAGCUACUUUGAGAUUAUAUAAUCAUCCUGUUUCUCACUAUACUUUUAUGCAAUAAUUCUUUGAUGAGUCUUGCCUGAAAUAAUUAUUACUAGCAUGGUUUCCAAAUAGUGAUUUUUCUAUUUCUAUCGUUCGUUCUACCUUUGUUAGUUGGAAUUUUAUUGUAAAGAAGAGUUUUACUUUCUACCCUGCUAAACUUCUUUUCUGAGGUCUCUGCAUUCAUCUAUCUGUCCAUCCAUCUAUUUUCUUUUUUAUUUAUCCUUUGCUUCAUUUCAUAUGUACUAAAUGUAUAGUCUUAUUUCAUUUCUCUGACUUAAUUAGAUUUUCAUAAAAGACUCCCUUAGUGAUGUUCCUGCUCACUACUUUAUUUAUGUAUCAUUACAUGUGCCUACUACUGCUUUCUAUAGAGUUAAUGAGUAAUUUAUAUCAGAAAACAUAAAAGUCCAUUCUUUAAAAUCUGUUAGAGGCUUGUCUAUGAGGGAGACUCAAGCUUUCUAAGGUGACCUUCAUCAGAUGAAUCUGCAUAUGUUCAUGAACAUAUGUUUGGACUGUCUGUGCUCCUCCCCUAACCUCCUUGUCAAGAUGAUCCCCAGUUGGAUUGUUGACUGAAACUGUAAGGCUUACUUACUAUAGAUUUGGUAUUUUUAUCAAGUUUGGUUGAGUGUCUGACUCAAGUCUCACUCUUUAUAUUUAUUUCAACUAUAAGAUUUCUUAUGUCUUCUUAUGAUCUCUCUAACAUCUGUCCAUGGUCUGAUCAGAUUUGAACUUCCCAGAUUUGAGAUUUUAGUGACACAUACAAAGAUUAUGGAAUAAAAAUAACAUAAUCAGAGAUGCCAUUUAUUCAGUGCUUAAUGUGUAUCCCAGGUACUUUACAUAUAAUAUUUAAAAAUCUCAUAAAACCCUAUAAGAUCCAUGUGUAUAUCUCAAUUUUUAAAAAGUCUUUUGCCUGGUGUUCAGAGAAGCUAAAUAAUCGGACUGAGCUCGAAGCUAACAAGUAGAAGGGCUGGCAUUCAAAUACAGGUUUGUCCUAAUGGAAAAGGCCAUUUUUUCCGUUUGCAUUAAACAUUGAUAAUAUAUCUGUUAACAGUGAUAAAUAUACACAGGAAUAAUAAUGAUAGUAUAUGAAAUUAUUAAGAAUAAAAACUGUAGAGAUUCUGUGGCAGAAAAAUGAAGUUCUCUUCUUCCCAAAGUGCAGCAGAGUACUCAAAUUGCAAGUGUUUAUUUAUUUUAUUUGGCUUUACUUGUUUUGUUCCACUUCUUGCUUUCCUCCUUUGUAGAAUCAGUAUACUUAAAAAUCUACACACAUGCUCAAGAAAUUAUGAAGAAGCCUUAAAAUCCAUAAAAGCCAUAAUAAUGAUAAUGUUACUUUAUCCCCAUGAAGAUUUAUACCUAGCGCCAAGAUUUAUACCUAGCACCAAGCUUAUACAUAGCUAUAAGUUGAAUAUAUGAAAUUAAAUUUUUUGUUUCCAACAGCAGGUGGUGGUGCAGGGUUAUU
RNAcentral lists this long non-coding RNA (2393 nucleotides) under Homo sapiens (human). Its description in RNAcentral is "HSALNT0369683". Lineage: Eukaryota; Metazoa; Chordata; Mammalia; Primates; Hominidae. The record is from RNAcentral.